GACGAACGCUGGCUGCGUGCUUAACACAUGCAAGUCGAACGGAAAGGCCCUGCUUUUGUGGGGUGCUCGAGUGGCGAACGGGUGAGUAACACGUGAGUAACCUGCCCUUGACUUUGGGAUAACUUCAGGAAACUGGGGCUAAUACCGGAUAGGAGCUCCUGCUGCAUGGUGGGGGUUGGAAAGUUUCGGCGGUUGGGGAUGGACUCGCGGCUUAUCAGCUUGUUGGUGGGGUAGUGGCUUACCAAGGCUUUGACGGGUAGCCGGCCUGAGAGGGUGACCGGCCACAUUGGGACUGAGAUACGGCCCAGACUCCUACGGGAGGCAGCAGUGGGGAAUAUUGCACAAUGGGCGGAAGCCUGAUGCAGCAACGCCGCGUGCGGGAUGACGGCCUUCGGGUUGUAAACCGCUUUCGCCUGUGACGAAGCGUGAGUGACGGUAAUGGGUAAAGAAGCACCGGCUAACUACGUGCCAGCAGCCGCGGUGAUACGUAGGGUGCGAGCGUUGUCCGGAUUUAUUGGGCGUAAAGGGCUCGUAGGUGGUUGAUCGCGUCGGAAGUGUAAUCUUGGGGCUUAACCCUGAGCGUGCUUUCGAUACGGGUUGACUUGAGGAAGGUAGGGGAGAAUGGAAUUCCUGGUGGAGCGGUGGAAUGCGCAGAUAUCAGGAGGAACACCAGUGGCGAAGGCGGUUCUCUGGGCCUUUCCUGACGCUGAGGAGCGAAAGCGUGGGGAGCGAACAGGCUUAGAUACCCUGGUAGUCCACGCUGUAAACGGUGGGUACUAGGUGUGGGGUCCAUUCCACGGGUUCCGUGCCGUAGCUAACGCUUUAAGUACCCCGCCUGGGGAGUACGGCCGCAAGGCUAAAACUCAAAGGAAUUGACGGGGCCCCGCACAAGCGGCGGAGCAUGCGGAUUAAUUCGAUGCAACGCGUAGAACCUUACCUGGGUUUGACAUGGAUCGGGAGUGCUCAGAGAUGGGUGUGCCUCUUUUGGGGUCGGUUCACAGGUGGUGCAUGGCUGUCGUCAGCUCGUGUCGUGAGAUGUUGGGUUAAGUCCCGCAACGAGCGCAACCCUUGUUCACUGUUGCCAGCACGUUAUGGUGGGGACUCAGUGGAGACCGCCGGGGUCAACUCGGAGGAAGGUGGGGGUGACGUCAAGUCAUCAUGCCCCUUAUGUCCAGGGCUUCACGCAUGCUACAAUGGCUGGUACAGAGAGUGGCGAGCCUGUGAGGGUGAGCGAAUCUCGGAAAGCCGGUCUCAGUUCGGAUUGGGGUCUGCAACUCGACCUCAUGAAGUCGGAGUCGCUAGUAAUCGCAGAUCAGCAACGCUGCGGUGAAUACGUUCCCGGG
Molecule: ribosomal RNA, 1343 nt
Filed under: uncultured bacterium
Lineage: Bacteria
Description: 16S ribosomal RNA
Rfam family: Bacterial small subunit ribosomal RNA
Source: RNAcentral